ACGGAAGGCAGCAGUGGGGGAUAUUGCACAAUGGGGGAAACCCUGAUGCAGCGACGCCGCGUGAGUGAUGAAGUAUUUCGGUAUGUAAAGCUCUAUCAGCAGGGAAGAAAAUGACGGUACCUGACUAAGAAGCUCCGGCUAAAUACGUGCCAGCAGCCGCGGUAAUACGUAUGGAGCAAGCGUUAUCCGGAUUUACUGGGUGUAAAGGGAGCGUAGACGGCGUGGCAAGUCUGAUGUGAAAGCUAUGGGCUCAACCCAUAAACUGCAUUGGAAACUGUCAUGCUAGAGUGCCGGAGAGGUAAGCGGAAUUCCUAGUGUAGCGGUGAAAUGCGUAGAUAUUAGGAGGAACACCAGUGGCGAAGGCGGCUUACUGGACGAUAACUGACGUUGAGGCUCGAAAGCGUGGGGAGCAAACAGGAUUAGAUACCCUGGUA
This 434-nucleotide ribosomal RNA is filed under the name uncultured bacterium. Its description in RNAcentral is "partial 16S ribosomal RNA". It matches the Rfam family "Bacterial small subunit ribosomal RNA", at positions 341 to 792 of the family's 1533-position model. The record is from RNAcentral.